This 77-nucleotide transfer RNA is filed under the name Blautia massiliensis (ex Durand et al. 2017). Its description in RNAcentral is "tRNA-Arg". It matches the Rfam family "tRNA". From Rfam's summary of the family: Transfer RNA (tRNA) molecules are approximately 80 nucleotides in length. Their secondary structure includes four short double-helical elements and three loops (D, anti-codon, and T loops). Lineage: Bacteria; Bacillati; Bacillota; Clostridia; Lachnospirales; Lachnospiraceae. The record is from RNAcentral. RNAcentral also lists the same sequence under 1 other name.
GCGUCCGUAGCUCAGCUGGAUAGAGCACUGGCCUCCGACGCCAGGUGCCGGGGGUUCGAAUCCCUUCGGGCGCACCA